AAUGGGUCAGCGACUUAUAUUCUGUAGCAAGGUUAACCGAAUAGGGGAGCCGAAGGGAAACCGAGUCUUAACUGGGCGUUAAGUUGCAGGGUAUAGACCCGAAACCCGGUGAUCUAGCCAUGGGCAGGUUGAAGGUUGGGUAACACUAACUGGAGGACCGAACCGACUAAUGUUGAAAAAUUAGCGGAUGACUUGUGGCUGGGGGUGAAAGGCCAAUCAAACCGGGAGAUAGCUGGUUCUCCCCGAAAGCUAUUUAGGUAGCGCCUCGUGAAUUCAUCUCCGGGGGUAGAGCACUGUUUCGGCAAGGGGGUCAUCCCGACUUACCAACCCGAUGCAAACUGCGAAUACCGGAGAAUGUUAUCACGGGAGACACACGGCGGGUGCUAACGUCCGUCGUGAAGAGGGAAACAACCCAGACCGCCAGCUAAGGUCCCAAAGUCAUGGUUAAGUGGGAAACGAUGUGGGAAGGCCCAGACAGCCAGGAUGUUGGCUUAGAAGCAGCCAUCAUUUAAAGAAAGCGUAAUAGCUCACUGGUCGAGUCGGCCUGCGCGGAAGAUGUAACGGGGCUAAACCAUGCACCGAAGCUGCGGCAGCGACGCUUAUGCGUUGUUGGGUAGGGGAGCGUUCUGUAAGCCUGCGAAGGUGUGCUGUGAGGCAUGCUGGAGGUAUCAGAAGUGCGAAUGCUGACAUAAGUAACGAUAAAGCGGGUGAAAAGCCCGCUCGCCGGAAGACCAAGGGUUCCUGUCCAACGUUAAUCGGGGCAGGGUGAGUCGACCCCUAAGGCGAGGCCGAAAGGCGUAGUCGAUGGGAAACAGGUUAAUAUUCCUGUACUUGGUGUUACUGCGAAGGGGGGACGGAGAAGGCUAUGUUGGCCG
This 875-nucleotide ribosomal RNA is filed under the name Escherichia coli. RNAcentral describes it as "partial 23S ribosomal RNA". It matches the Rfam family "Bacterial large subunit ribosomal RNA", at positions 614 to 1493 of the family's 2925-position model. The record is from RNAcentral. Lineage: Bacteria; Pseudomonadati; Pseudomonadota; Gammaproteobacteria; Enterobacterales; Enterobacteriaceae.